Molecule: long non-coding RNA, 6507 nt
Organism: Herpailurus yagouaroundi (jaguarundi)
Lineage: Eukaryota; Metazoa; Chordata; Mammalia; Carnivora; Felidae
Exons: 7
Source: RefSeq, a predicted model, not a curated record
UGGAGCCCUGUGGAAGCUAAGAAUGCGAGGAGUCUCUGCUCCUUUCCCCUUCCGGAUUUUUGCUUCAGCUGCGGCGCAGUCUGACCGAGCAGCUUCGAGGGUCUUCCGCCAGCGGCUUGUUGGUGCAGUGGAAUCCCCCAGGGAGCUGAGCAGUUCGUGGAAUCUUCUUACCGGUACAGCUUUCACUGUUGCUUGUGUUACAGUGUGAGGCUGGCCUGGGAACUGGUGUGAAGACCGUAGCCCUCGCUGCAGGGGGGCCCAGGGAGCCGGAAAAUCGGUUGCAGCACGCGUGUCUGUGAUGCUCCCCUUUCCUGAGGUCCGCAGCUGCCGCCCGGAGGAGAUCUAGCAGAGCCAUUUAUCAAACACACACAAUUAAGGCCAGCGUUGGCCGAGAUCUAUUCCAGGAGCGGAGGAGCGGAGCAGAGCCUGGGGGUGACGCAAGUGACGCAAGUGACGCAAGACGGAUCGUCCAAUCGGACCAAGGUCCUCCAGUGAGGGCGGAGGGAGCGUUGGAUCCUGGGUGGUCAAAUUUAGGUCCUGUGCUUCAGACCGCGCCUGGACAACCAGAUACGAAAAUAGAGAUUUUUGGCUGAGCGUUGGCCUGGGAGACACCGAGAGUAGAUAUUAGCAGAGAGAAGGAGGCCAGUUAUCAUGGGAAGAGUUUACCAAAGACAAUUUCGAGAGCUGGUUCCGCGAUUCCCCGGCUCCACGGCCAGAUCAAAGGAGCCUCCACAAGGAAGUGAAGUCCCAGAGGAACGGACCCGUGUAUGUUUGCAUGACGUUUGAUGAGGAGCGGACAGCUGUGGAGGAACGUGAUACCGUGAGGUACGUGUUGUAAACUGCGGGCAUCCAGAGAAGGCUGUUUGUUAGCGUUCUUCUGGGUGAUUCCCUGGUCUUCAGAGAGAAGGACGUUCCUGUCCUCCAGGUGUAAAGAGGGCGCCACUCACAUGAUCUGCUUCACGAAAGAAGGGUGGAGGGGCCGGUCUCCGACUUAGCCUUCUGACCUGCCGUCCUCUCAGACUCCUUCAGUGUAAAAUACUCAGUAUGCCAAGGUGCCAUACUUUGGGGGGAGUGGGUCUUAGACCCCGUCUGAGGAAACAAACCAGUAUCCUGGGGUGUGCUUUCUGUGGGCACUGAAGCUGCUAAGCCUCUCCAUUUAUUUUGGAGCUCUCCAUGGGUCUGACCCAAGCUUCGGAACCUACUUUUCUUAUCUUUCCUACCCCCUCCUUCCUCGACACACACACACUCUCAACCUUUAGCUCUUUGGAGUCAUAGAAUUAUGAAAUGUCAGACUAUGAAAGAGGCUCUGGGCCCGAAACGACACACACCUUCCUGACGAUGCUCAAGACAGACGUUACCAAUGCAUCAUGGUAAUGUCCCAUGAAGCUCAGUGUCUACCUCAGAAUCCUUCCCAGCCCAGCAUUCCAGGUAUCCAGUUUUUUUGUGAGACAAAGUCUAGUUUACAGAUGCUUUCUUUGAAGCUUUAAAAGUCAACUCUGAACCCCAGAGAAAGGAAGUCGCUCUUCCAAGGUCACACGGCCGGUUGGUGACUAGGGGAAGAUGGGCAACAGGCUCUCCUGCCCGGGCCUUUGCUCUCUCUCUCUCUCCUGAGCCAGGGUUUCCGAGACUUUGCCCAUUUAUUCACUGUCUUCUCGGACCUCGUUCUCUUGACCGGCGAUCUCUCGCCAUCUCGUUCUUCAUCCACCGCCCACGGACUACCAGGUGAUUUACAAGACCCCAGACCCUUCUCAGACAGAAUCUUAGCGAGUGGCUGAUCCACACGGAGCCACGGCCAAGAGAAGCAGCUUUGUUUGGGAUGCGAUCCACAUCGGGAAAGAAUGCACUCAUCCUGUGGUCCAGAUCUCUCCCCAACGGCUGGAAUCGAGGGCCCGGAGUCCCCGCGGCCAUCCAUUACCACUGAGACGGCCCAGGCUGGGGGCCCGUGUUGUUUUAUAUGACGGCUUAUCCUGCCGUGAGCCGUUCUGUGCCCCUCGCUGGCUGCUCACCUUCUGGUGCAGGCAUCGGCUCAGCGAUGAAGAAAUGCACAAGCCCGUGGGCCAUCACCGGCAAAUGUCCGGUUUUGAUGCUGCCUGGAGGGUGCGGUUUCUGGGGCAGUCCAGGGUACCCCAGGUGCACCAAGGGAUGACGGGGAACCCACAGGAAGGGACACCUGAUAAGCCAGGAGAAGGUUCAGAAGGAUGGAAAGGUUGCUCUGUAGCGAGGGAACGGCAGCAACGAACGCACAGAGGCGUAAGGGAGCGGUGAGUUUAGGAGCAAUACAGACAUUUCCGAUUGUUGGAGGUAUGCUGUGAGGCUGGGGCAAGUGGCAGGUGACGGAGUGGAGAGAGAGAAAAAGGAAACAAGCAAGCGAGCAAAAAGUAUCCGUAACAUGCCACACGGUAAUAGGAGCAAAGGCAAAAGUCAAGCAGAGGUGGGGACAGAGCUGGGGAUGCUGUAGGUAGGUGGGUGGUCAGGGAGGGCUUCUCUGAGGAAGGGACAUUUGAGCCGCCGCGUGAGCUGUGCAAGGGUCCUCUCCCACCUGAUCUUAUCUGGUCCUCAUGACCGCGUGAAAGGAAGGCCACAGACAAGGACCCUACCGCCCCAGGGCUGGGCCUGGGCUGGGGAGUGAGUUUGAGGCAGAGCGGGGCCCAGGAUCCGGCGCUCCAGACACCCAAGGCAGGGGUCCUUUGAGCUCAGAGUGGCCUCCUCCGCCAAAUGUGGGCUUUGGCCCAGCCCAGGACCUCUCCUCGGUCUCUGCAACCUUGUCACCCACGACCCUACCCGGCAGCAAGAUGAGGUUAAGACGGGCUCUGACAUCAGACAGGUGCAGCUCUAAUUCCAGUCUCUCCUAUUAGCUGCUUCAUCUGGAGCAAGGAAGCCUCAGUGUCUUCCCCCAUGAAAGGGGGUAAUCGAGCAUCUUUCUCGUGGAACACCGGACGGUGCAAGCAAAGCCCUUAGCACCGCGCCCGGCACACGUAGACGGGGCUUAUGGAACGCGAGUUACCGGCCAUCUUGGCGCACAGGGCCCCCCGCCUCCUCGAGCCAUCUGAGUGAUGACCACACGGCCGCUGCCCUCGGCUGGGCCGUGGCGGGCUUGGCUCGGUGUGACAGGGCGGGCUGUUGUAGAGUGACCCGGCCCCCUUGUCUCGAAGUGGGACCCGCUGUGUCCCUUCUAUGCCCUGUCACAUCUGAUGCACCCUCCUCGCCUUCCCUUCUGUUUGCCCGGUGCUUCCUGCUUUCAGACCUGCUCACUUUGCUCCCUAAUAUGCAUCGCUGACAGACAUUAUGUUUAUUUCCUUGUUCCCUUACGGCCGUCUCCCCUGACAGAAGUUGGACACCCCGAUGACGGAGAUUCGGGGCGCUCUGUGUGCAGCUGCCGGUCUGGCGCCCAGAACGUGACCGACUCCCAGUAGGUCCUGGAAACAUGUUGGUUGAACGGGUGGAUGAAGAAAUGGAACAAAUGUGCCGUGGAUGUCCGUGGCCACGGGCCAUCUCCCCAGACAGCCUGUGUUAUUUUCUUUCAGGCCACGGCUGCAGAAGGUCAAGGGUCUGGUCCAUUUCCUUAGCCAUCCUGACCUUGGCCCGAAGGCACUUGGCCCUGGGCAUGGGAGGGCCUCCUUCCAUGCACCCGUGUUCCCUCCAGGCCGGCGCAAGGGGGACCCUGUCUUUCUUCCUAGCUCUCAGGUCAGGUCCAUGAGGAGACAACAGGAGGGGAAGACAGAUAAGCCUAUGAGGCCUCUGGGGACCCAGAAGGGCCCACGUCUGCACCUGUCACCCCUACUGCACGGCCCUGCUCCUCACUCUAUCACCACUUCAGUCUCCGUUAGGAAGCUGGCAGUGGAGUCCGAAUCCCCAGGGGUUUGGACUCGUGGGCGCCACGUGCAGCGAUGAUCCCGCCAGCCUCAAAAUCAGGCCCAUGGAGCCCCACCCGCGGGUGCAGGAGGCGGGGAGAGUGGGACAGGGGGCAAUAUGGGCCGGUGCGACUCAGUCUAGGGGCCGCAGCCCAAACAGCAGCUGUUUCCGUGAUUCAGCAAAGAGCCGGGUGGGGGUGCUGACGGCUGGGGUGGGCCGGGACUGGAGCUGAGUGAGAGGAGUCAGGGAAGGGGGGGGGGGGACACGGGUCACCCUGCACGCAGGCCCGCAGCCACUACUUUUGGGUCCUGCCCCCGCAUCACCUUAGCCCCGUGGGCCUGCCUUCACCCCCGUGGCCUGUUGCCACAUGUAGGUUUCACUGUUACCCAGGUAUGGUGAGGCCAGCAGAUCCAUAGUCUGCCGCCCACAGAUCCCAAGAGGAGGGGACCGUCACAUCAUGGGGAGCCACGCAAGGAAGGAGCAGGCGGGUCAGGACGCAGCGCGAGUGGGAGGGAAGCGUAGGGGCAAGACCCUGUAUUGUGGUUUCCGCAGGGAAGAGUGGGUGGGCAGGUAAGCAGGUGAGUUUGAGUAAUUUCAUUGGGCUCUGGGGCCCAGGAACUGUCGCUAGUUGUCUGGUAUCUGGCCCCAGGGUGAUCAGGGCAGGUGGGUAGCGGCCCAGAUAUGAGGGAAAAAUGAGGUGGUUGUAAUAGGUCUCUGUUUGGGUUGCCCCUAACAGGCACACUCACAGGCCAGUGGUUUGCGCUCUCAAGGAACUGGCCAGCCCGGGGCGGGGUCGUCCCUCCAGGGUCACAAAGGCCCCAGAUGUCAGAGCAUCAGAAACGCAUGGUUUCCUUAUUAGUAAACCAAAAGAUAACGGCACCGGCGCCUGAUGAGGCUCCCCGAAGCAUCAGCAGGAAUGCCUAUGGGUCACCCCGGCCCACAGGUGGUCCUCACUCACGUCCGGCACUGGCUUAGGGAUUGCGGACCGACGGACAGGACGCCACAAGCCUGGCCUUCAAAAUGCUCAAAGACUGGGGCGCCUGGGCGGCUCAGUCAGUGAGGCGUCCAACUCUUGAUUUCGGCUCCGGUCAUGAUCUCGCUGUUCGUGAGAUCAAGCCCCAUGUGGGGCUCCGGGCUGACGGUGUGGAGCCUGCUCGGGAUUCUCCUGUCGCCCUCUCUCUCUGCCCCUCCCCCUCUUGGGUGCUCACCAUGCACGCACGUGCUUACACGCCCUCUGUCUCGCAAAGUAAAGAAAUAAGCAUGAAAAAAAAAAUGUUUUAAUGCUCAGAGACUAAUGAGGGACAGACAUGUCACAGCGGCUCAUGCCAGUAGGCAAGGUUGGAGUGGGUGCCACAGAAAAGCGUGAGGGGCGUGUUACGGGUGGUUGCGUUUGGGUGCAGUGAGGGGGAGUUUUCAAGGAACAUAUGGCACCUGAGUCUCAUGAGAGGGAGAGGAGAGGGUACAUCCAGGUGGAGGGGAUAGCCUCAGCAAGGCUUGGAGAGAGACCUAAAGGCUGUUCGGGGACAGUGGGGACAGAGUAGAUCAAUGUCGCUUGGGCCAGGGGACCAAGGGAGGGAUUGGCAAGGUGUGGUUGGCGGAUUAAGCUGAAUGGCUUUGACUGUGACAGUAACGAACUUGAACUUCAUCCUCCGGGCAGAACUGGAACUUCCCUCUGGGGAAGGCCAUAACAUACCCUGGCGGGGUCUUAGGGAGAGAUUUUCUGGGACCUUGUGGAGAAUGAAUUAGCAGGGCUGAGACCGGGGGCAGAGAGCAGCUCUGAGGUCCUGCAAGUCCAGCCGCGAGAUGGAGAACAGACGGAUCUGGAUGAAAAGGAGACCGAUCUAUCGAGCACUUACCAUGUUCCGGACACGCCCCGUACAUUUGCUCACUCGCCUCUCAACAGUGCUCUGAGUGGGUGCUCUCGUUCCCAUUUUACAGAUGAGAACACUGAGGUACAAGGAGGUUAAGUGACUUGCUCAGGGUCACGCAGCCAGCGACGUGGAGCCCUGGGAUUCUGAUUCUGGUCCAUCUGAAUCCAAAGCCCUGAUACUUCCCAGACCCAGAUGCCCACGGGGAGAGAAGGCCCAAAGGUGAAGAGAUGCACGCAGUGGAAACUUAGCAGAUCCCGACAGCUUCUUUCUUCGUCAGCCUCCCUGAGCUGGGCAUCUUCCACUGGCUCCUCCAGACCCUCAACCCACCCCCCUCUUUCUCCCCCUACUCCGUGUCCUGGGAGGCUGGUGGCAUGGGAGGCGUCCACAGGCUCCCUGGUCCUCACCCAUUAGCUUCUGGCUGGGUUCCAUCAACGGGGCAGGAGAGCCGAGGGAAGGAGGAGAGUGAGUGGGCUUGCUGCUUCCCCCUCCGAUGGGCUCUGUCCCCCCACUGACGCCCCAGCUCCUCCAGGUGGCCCUCUCCACACAGCGCGCUGCCCCAUCGGGCAGCUCCUCUCUCUCCUGCCCUUUCAAGCCUGGGGGUGGUGACAGUCACUCCUGCUUUUCAUACGGGUCCGUCUGUGACGUUGGCCCUCGGGAGAGAGGGCAGCAGACAGCAGCUUCUAAUGCUGGUCCCUGACGUCAUGGGGGUGGCUGAGCUUGCCAGGGAGUGUGCAGGGCAUGACGCUCAGGGACCAAGCUGGGAAGGAGGGGGGGACGCUGACAU